GUGCUGGUUUUGGCAGCACAUCUACUAAACCUGGAAUGAUAGAUUAAGCAUGGUCCCUGAGCAAGGAUGACACAUAAAUUCUGUGAAUCUAUGUAAGUAUCA
Molecule: small nuclear RNA, 102 nt
Organism: Lontra canadensis (Northern American river otter)
Lineage: Eukaryota; Metazoa; Chordata; Mammalia; Carnivora; Mustelidae
Source: RefSeq, a predicted model, not a curated record